This 634-nucleotide ribosomal RNA is filed under the name Kineosporia sp. Ri1Pt_3807. RNAcentral describes it as "bacterial SSU rRNA". It matches the Rfam family "Bacterial small subunit ribosomal RNA", at positions 381 to 1024 of the family's 1533-position model. Lineage: Bacteria; Bacillati; Actinomycetota; Actinomycetes; Kineosporiales; Kineosporiaceae. The record is from RNAcentral.
GCCUGACGCAGCGACGCCGCGUGAGGGAUGAAGGCCUUCGGGUCGUAAACCUCUUUCAGCAGGGAAGAAGCGCAAGUGACGGUACCUGCAGAAGAAGCACCGGCUAACUACGUGCCAGCAGCCGCGGUAAUACGUAGGGUGCAAGCGUUGUCCGGAAUUAUUGGGCGUAAAGAGCUCGUAGGCGGUCUGUCGCGUCUGCUGUGAAAACCUAGGGCUUAACUCUGGGCGUGCAGUGGGUACGGGCAGACUAGAGUGCGGUAGGGGAGACUGGAAUUCCUGGUGUAGCGGUGAAAUGCGCAGAUAUCAGGAGGAACACCGGUGGCGAAGGCGGGUCUCUGGGCCGUAACUGACGCUGAGGAGCGAAAGCAUGGGGAGCGAACAGGAUUAGAUACCCUGGUAGUCCAUGCCGUAAACGUUGGGCGCUAGGUGUGGGGUCCAUUCCACGGAUUCUGCGCCGCAGCUAACGCAUUAAGCGCCCCGCCUGGGGAGUACGGCCGCAAGGCUAAAACUCAAAGGAAUUGACGGGGGCCCGCACAAGCGGCGGAGCAUGCGGAUUAAUUCGAUGCAACGCGAAGAACCUUACCAAGGCUUGACAUGGGGUGAAAACUCGCAGAGAUGCGGGGUCCGCAAGGGC